CCUACGGGUGGCAGCAGUGGGGAAUAUUGCACAAUGGGCGCAAGCCUGAUGCAGCCAUGCCGCGUGUGUGAAGAAGGCCUUCGGGUUGUAAAGCACUUUCAGCGGGGAGGAAGGCGUUAAGGUUAAUAACCUUGGCGAUUGACGUUACCCGCAGAAGAAGCACCGGCUAACUCCGUGCCUGCAGCCGCGGUAAUACGGAGGGUGCAAGCGUUAAUCGGAAUUACUUGGCGUAAAGCGCACGCAGGCGGUCUGUCAAGUCGGAUGUGAAAUCCCCGGGCUCAACCUGGGAACUGCAUUCGAAACUGGCAGGCUAGAGUCUUGUAGAGGGGGGUAGAAUUCCAGGUGUAGCGGUGAAAUGCGUAGAGAUCUGGAGGAAUACCGGUGGCGAAGGCGGCCCCCUGGACAAAGACUGACGCUCAGGUGCGAAAGCGUGGGGAGCAAACAGGAUUAGAUACCCGAGUAGUC
Molecule: ribosomal RNA, 465 nt
Filed under: uncultured Klebsiella sp.
Lineage: Bacteria; Pseudomonadati; Pseudomonadota; Gammaproteobacteria; Enterobacterales; Enterobacteriaceae
Description: bacterial SSU rRNA
Rfam family: Bacterial small subunit ribosomal RNA
Source: RNAcentral